Haliotis rufescens (red abalone) is the source of this 871-nucleotide long non-coding RNA. RefSeq lists it as uncharacterized. The transcript has 5 exons. The record is from RefSeq and is a predicted model, not a curated record. Lineage: Eukaryota; Metazoa; Mollusca; Gastropoda; Lepetellida; Haliotidae.
ACGACACCAAGUUAGCUGUAGACAGCCAGCUGUCCAGUGUCAGGAAAGUGAUGGAUAAGAUAGCGGAGGUGUGCCCAAACCCGUUGUCCAUAAAAGGAGGAAAAGUACUGAAGUCGGCAGGACGCCAUGUUGGUGCCCAGGUGCAGUUCCAGUGUACCGAUGGCGAAAAGCUAGCAUUCACGUGUCUUGCGACGGGAGAAUGGGACACCAAAUCUCAGUGUUCACAGACUUGGCGCGUACGAACUUCCAAGUACAUUUGGCCCCGGAUCAGCAGUGACGUUUAUUGCCGAGCCCUUGGGAACAGGACACAAGUGGUCCAUCUUUGACUUCAAGAAAAACGGAGAUGAUAAAGCGGACAUACUGUUACAUACGUCUAUCCGAACAAGGACAAGAACGAUAGUAAGAAACUCUCGUCAGAAUGGCCAUUACGGACGUGAAGAAAAGGCACAUCUGUCACCUUUCGACAUCGAAGUCGGACAACCCUUCAACUUCACUGCAGUCCUUGACAAAACUGGAUAUAGGGGAUAUGUCAAUGGUGAUCAUUACUUCGACUUCAAGCACAGAGUCAAGGAAAUGCCGCAAUACGUGGCACUUCGUGGACAGAUGAAGGUGAACAGCAUGAAAGUCCGGAUCUAGGAUACGUCCUGAAUAUUGAGGAAUCAAAAAGUUCUUUCUCCAUCACACAAUUUAUCUCUACAGCAGAAGUUUAGCUACAUAUGAAAAGUGUUUUUGUGUUUUUGUAAGAGAAAAUAUCAUCGAGGAGGAAAGUCUUAUGAUCUUAUAAAGUUACACCUAUAUUAAAUAUUCUUCACCACUUCACCGUAAAAUUUGCAUUAAGCAAUUAAAUCUUGUAAUGAGUGAGAAAACCUUA